This 359-nucleotide ribosomal RNA is filed under the name bacterium. Its description in RNAcentral is "bacterial SSU rRNA". It matches the Rfam family "Bacterial small subunit ribosomal RNA", at positions 73 to 424 of the family's 1533-position model. The record is from RNAcentral.
UGGGAGCUUGCUCCCUGAUGUUAGCGGCGGACGGGUGAGUAACACGUGGGUAACCUGCCUGUAAGACUGGGAUAACUCCGGGAAACCGGGGCUAAUACCGGAUGGUUGUUUGAACCGCAUGGUUCAAACAUAAAAGGUGGCUUCUGCUACCACUUUCAGAUGGGCCCCCGGCGCAUUAUCUAGUUGGGGAGGUAACGGCUCACCAAGGCGACGAUGCGUAGCCCACCUGAGAGGGUGAUCGGCCACACUGGGACUGAGACACGGCCCAAACUCCUACGGGAGGCAGCAGUAGGGAAUCUUCCCCAAUGGACGAAAGUCUGACGGAGCAACGCCCCGUGAGUGAUGAAGGUUUUCGGAUC